CCCCCCCGCGCGCCCAUUGGCCCAGCGACCCCCGUCCCGUGCUCCCAUUGGCCCAGAGCCUCUCGUUCCGCGCUCUCAUUGGCCCAGCGACCCUCGUCCCGCGCUCCCAUUGGCCUCGGAGCCCUCCACAAACAAAGGCCGGAGCCCGGCGGGGGGCCCGGCGCGCCGCUCUGAUUGGCGGAGCGAAAGGGCGGGGCGGCCCGGCUAGGCUCCUCCCACAGAGCGACGCCGGAUGCCCUCAUAUGGAGCUGGGCGGGGCGCGCUCAUUCAUGCGCGCUGGGAGGGGCGGGGCCAGCGCGGGGCUGCGCUUCCCGCCCGCGGCGCGCGCGGCUCGUUCCCACGGCGCGGGCGAGUGAAUGAACGGGCGCGCGCGGGGGCGCGGCACGGCACCGUGAGGGUCGGUACGGCCCGGUGAGGUCCGGUAAGGCUCCGUGCGGCCCGGUAAGCUCCGCUAUGGCACCGUGCGGCUCGGGACGGCUCGGUACAUCUCAGUGCCUGUGCUAGGCGUGGGUGCGUGCAGGUGGGGAGCGGGUCCACGCGCGGUGUGACGGUGCCGGGGCUCGCGUGGGGCGGGCGCGAUCGUGUCCUGAGUGUGCGUGGUUGCAUCCCCCGUGGUUGUACCCCCGGUGCUGUGUCCACCUGCUCGCCCCUCUGUGCCUUGCACACCCACGCGUGCUUUGUUCUGGGGGGCUUCUCAGGGUCCCCCCGCGGCCCUGGCUCUGCAUCGCUCCUGCCCAGGCCCUGGGGCAGCACCAGCAUCGCAAGUGCUUGGGGACCCACAUCCCAAAAUGCAUCCCAUGGUGGGUUCGGUCCCUUGCCUCCAUCCUCCUCACCGUGCCCAUAAAUCCAUCCCCGGUCCCGUUCACAACCUGCCCGGCCCUCGCGGGACACACGGCAGCUCCCAGCUCGUGCUGCAGAUACGGACUGAACUUUGGUCCCUGAGCAAUUAAGGUGCCUGAAACUGCACUUCAUUAAUGGUUGUUCUGCAAUAAAACCCAUCAAACUGCCCUUAUUUGCA
Molecule: long non-coding RNA, 1018 nt
Filed under: Junco hyemalis (dark-eyed junco)
Lineage: Eukaryota; Metazoa; Chordata; Aves; Passeriformes; Passerellidae
Description: lncRNA (ENSJHYG00000002270.1)
Source: RNAcentral